UAUCAAAAGGACAGAGGGCUGUCUGUAUCC
RNAcentral lists this non-coding RNA (30 nucleotides) under Homo sapiens (human). The record is from RNAcentral. Lineage: Eukaryota; Metazoa; Chordata; Mammalia; Primates; Hominidae.